GAUGAACGCUAGCGGCAGGCUUAAUACAUGCAAGUCAAGGGGGUAGCAAUACAACCGGCGCACGGGUGAGUAACACGUACACAACAUACCAUAUACUGAGGUAUAGCUUCGGGAAACUGAAGGUAAUCCCUCAUAGUAUUGUGAAAGGGCAUCUUUUUUACAAUUAAAGUUUCGACGGUAUAUGAUUGGUGUGCGUUUGAUUAGCUAGUUGGUAGGGUAACGGCCUACCAAGGCAACGAUCAAUAGCUGGCGUGAGAGCGCGACCAGCCACACUGGAACUGAGACACGGUCCAGACUCCUACGGGAGGCAGCAGUAGGGAAUAUUGGACAAUGGGCGAAAGCCUGAUCCAGCCAUGCCGCGUGAUAGAUGAAGGCCCUCUGGGUUGUAAAUAUCUUUUAUCUGGGAAGAAACACUUCUAUUCUUAGAAGCUUGACGGUACCAGAGGAAUAAGCACCGGCUAACUCCGUGCCAGCAGCCGCGGUAAAGUCGAUA
RNAcentral lists this ribosomal RNA (493 nucleotides) under uncultured bacterium. RNAcentral's name for it is "bacterial SSU rRNA". It matches the Rfam family "Bacterial small subunit ribosomal RNA", at positions 28 to 531 of the family's 1533-position model. The record is from RNAcentral.